Molecule: long non-coding RNA, 5927 nt
Filed under: Marmota monax (woodchuck)
Lineage: Eukaryota; Metazoa; Chordata; Mammalia; Rodentia; Sciuridae
Source: RNAcentral
CCAUAUAAACAUAAAUUAUUAGCACAAACUAUAUCAAGUAAAUAUCAACAUAUUACUUCAGGGAAGAGCCCAGUAUUUAAUUCAGCUGUCAGAGACCAAAGACUCUUUCUGAAAAGCUGUUAAUUUACACAUACAUUGUUUUUUAUCCUUGCUUUUCAAGUGCAGUUUUCUAGAGUCUGUAACAAAUGUUGAAAACAAGAAACAAGAUGAUAACAUAUACUAAAUUUGGGUUAAUGUGUAAAAAUAAGUCUUAAAUCUGGUAUAUGUUACUUUGGGUCACAUAUCAAUAAGGUAUGUAUCUAUCUAUGGUUCUUAAAUUUCAUUGUUUAUUUGAAUCUGGUGCAUAUUUUAAAAAAAUUCCAUUGCCACAGUGAAUCUUAUCAACAUGCUCAUCCAUAAGAAAUUAAUUUAAAAAUAACCAUGAGUAAAUUGCAGAAAGAUCAAUAGAGGGAAGUGAGCAAGGUGUGGGAGAAAGGAAGGAGAAGGAAAGGUGUUGGGGACUGAAAUUGAACAAGGUAUAUUCCCUGCUUUUAUAGUUAUGGCAGAAUAAUUCUACUGUCCUAUAUAACUAAAAAGAACAAAUAAAAAAUAAUUCCAGUGUCAAGACACUAUAAGAUCAUUGAAGUCUGGAAAACUGAAAAUAGGAGACUGAAAUCAAUAUUUAUUUAAGCUACAAACAUGCAAUGAAGUUAGUGUUUAUCUUUGAAAAUCACUCAUAUUUAGAAUAAUUUUACUAAAUUAAUAGCAUUAGAUACAAUAAUACAUUGUGUAAAGUGCCAUGAACCUUUGAAAGUGUUAGUAAUCACUAUUCUGUCUUAAUAAUUGACACCCAAGAAAUAAUGACCAUCUUAUUCACACACAUACACACACACACACACACACACACACACACACCUUUUUUUAUCAUCUUAUAUAAAGCAGCAGGCUUUUGGUGAAAUUUCUAUGAAAGUAUUCUUCCUGUUUUAAAAAGAUACCUAUAAAUGAGAUAGAAUACUGUUUUUUCCUCUCUCUAUAUGUCUUCAGGUAACCUUUUUAAUUUAUUAUGCUUAUAUAGACAUAUAUGCAAAUGUAUAUAUUAUGUGUACAUCAGUUAUUUGGAUUGUCAUACACUAACGUGUUUAUUGAUGUGAUGUAUACACUUAAUGGGAAAACUAAACAGUACAAUUAUAAUACAACUGACAUUCUUCUUCUUCCUUACAGUUGCACACAAAGUCCUGUCUUAGACAUAAAAACCAAUUUACAAUACUUUUUUCUUUAAUUUUAAAAUUACUACUUUAUACCUUGAUUUCUUGCUAUGGUGUAUGAGUAUCUAAUGGUUUACACUAAUUAUACAUCUUCUUCUCUUCUUAUGUUAUCAUUCAUUCACAUUUCUAUUUUUUUUACUUUUCUCAUAUUUUUAAAUUUGUUUUAAUUAGUUAUAUAUGAAUUCACUUUAAUAUAUCAUAUAUAAUAGAUUAUAAUUUCUCAUUCUUCUGGUUAUACAUGGUGUAGAAUCUCACUGGUCAUAUAGUUAUAUAUGUACAUAAGGCAAUAAUGUUUGAUUUUUAAAAACAAGUUGAGUACCCCUAAUAUAUAAAGUUUGUAAUGCCACAAAAUCAGUAAACUCUUUGGAAAAAUCCACACCAGACAUCGAGUAACAGGUCACAGUCAAAAAGCAGGAACACUGAGAGUAUUUUGUAAAAUCAUUUUCAUGCUAUGCAUUUAAGGUAUAUAUGAAACAAAAUGAAUUUCAAAAUUAAACUUGGAUUCUCUCCCUAAGACUUUUUAUUAUGUAUGUAUAUGUGAAUACUCCAAAUGACAAAUAUAAACAGAUUAAAAAAAUGCUUAAAGUUCCAAACACAUCUGGCCCAAAGUAUUUUGGAGGACAAAUAUACAAAAUCUAUAUGUAAUAUGCUGACACUAUCAACAGGCUGCAGUUAUUUCACAAAUUAUAUACAUCACGUACAUGAUGAUACAAUGAUUCCUGGACUUGGCUUUAGAAGGCAUUCAGCUGGAUUAUGUGCUUGGGUGACCUUCAUCACUGUUCCCUUUGAUUAUGUAACCCAGACAUCUAAAUAUAUUUCUUCUAAAAUGUUACAUAUUUUUCCAUGAAUAAGUACAGUUGUGACCACAGUGUCUGACUAGCCAUUGAAUGUUCUGCUUUGAUUGUAUUCAUGAUUAAAAUCUCCAAAGAGUAUUUUUUUUUCUUUUUCUUUUCCACUUUUGUUUAAUUAGCCCAUUAUAUUUUUACAUCUUGAUGGGAUUCAUUCUUACAUAUCCAUACAUGCACACAAUACAAAAAUUCAAUUUGGCCAAUAUCACUCCAAAGCACUUACCUAAACUUUUUCUUUCAUUUAAAAAAAAAAUAUUCUGGCUGGGGAUGUGGCUCAAGCGUAGCGUGCUCGCCUGGCAUGUGUGCGGCCCAGGUUCAAUCCUUAGCACCACAUACAAACAAAGAUGUUGUGUCUGCCAAAAAAAAACCCUAAAAAAUAAAUAUUAAAAAAAUUCUCUCUCUCUUUCACUCUCUCUUUAAAAAAAUUAUUCUAAUUUGUUAUAUAUGACAUCAGAAUGCAAUUCAAUUCAUAGUACAUAUAUUUAGCACAAUUUUUCAUGUCUCUGGUUGUACAAAGAAGAGUCACACCAUUCAUGUCUUCAUACAGGUAAUUGGGGUAAUGAUGUCCAUUUCAUUCCACUGUCUUUCCUAUGCCCCUACUCCCUCUCUUCUCCUCCCUCCCCUUUGCUAUAUCAAAAUUUCCUCCAUUCCUCCCAUGCCCCCUGCCAUCUGCUUUAUGAAUCAGCAUCCUCAUAUCAGAAAAAAACUUUCACCUUUUGGAUUGAGGGAUUGGCUUACUUAUCAUAAUAUUUCUACAGCUCCAUCCAUUUACCUGCAAAUGUCAUUAUUUUAUUCUAUUUUAAUGCUGAGUUAAUAGUCCAUUGUGUAUAUAUACACCACACUUUCUUUAUCCAUUCAUCUACUAAAGGUCAUCUAGUUUGGUUCCACAAUUUAGCUAUUGUGAAUUGUGCUGCUAUAAACAUUGAUGUGGCUGUGUUAAUAUAGUAUGCUGUUUUUUAAGUUUUUUGGGUAUAAACCAAGAAAUGGAAUAGCAGGGUCAAAUGGUGGUUCCAUUCUAUUUUUUCCAAAGAAUAGCCAUACUGUUUUCAGAUUCGUUGCACCAAUUUACAGUCCCACCAGCAAUAUUUGAGUGUGCCUUUCUCCCAACAGCCUCGCUAAAACUUAUUGUUGUCUAUAUUCUUAAUAGCUGCCAUUCUGACUGGAAUAAAAUCUUAUAGUAAUUUUGAUUUGCAUUUCCUAAUUACUAGAGAUCUUGAAAUGUUUUUAUAUAUUUAUUGAUUGGGUUAUUUGGUUUUUGUUUUUAAGAUUUUUUAUUUCUUUAUAUAUCCUAGAAAUUAGUCCUCUGAUGUGCAUGUGGUAAAAAAUUGCUUCCACUCUGUAGGCUCUCUAUUCACCUCUCUGAAUAUAUAUUUUUCUGAGAAGAAGCUUUUUAAUUUUGAUCCAUCCCACUUAUUGAUUCUUUAUUUUGUUUCUUAUGCUAUAGGAGUCUUAUUAAAGGAAUUGGGGCCUAAUCACACAUGAUGAAGAUUUGGUCAAACUUUUUUUUUUUUUUUCCUAUUAGGCUCAGGGUCUCUGGUCUAAUUCCUAGGUCCUUGGUCCACUUUGAGUUGAGUUUGUGCAUGGUGAGAGAUAGGGUCUUAAUUUCAUUUUGUUGCAUAUGGAUUUCCAGUUUUCCCAGCACCAUUUGUUGGAGCUGUUAUCCUUUCUCCCAUAUUUGUUUUUGGCUCCUUUGUCUAAUAUGAGAUAACUAUAUUUAUGUGGGUUUGUCUUUAUGUCCUCUAUUCUGUACCAUUGGUCUACAUGUCUUUUUGAUACCAAUACCAUGCUGUUGUUGUUACUAUUGCUCUGUAGUAUAGUUUAAGGUCUGGUGUAGUGAUGCCACCUGCUUUGCUCUUCUUACUAAGGACUGCUUUAGCUAUUCUAGGUCUCUUUUUAUUUUCCAGAUGAAUUUCAUGACUGUUUUUCUAUUUUUAUGAGGAAUGUUAUUGGGAUUUUGAUUGUAAUUACAUUAAAUCUCUAUAGUACUUUUGGUAGUAUGGUCAUUUUGACAAUAUUAAAUCUGCCUAUCAAAAGAAAAAGGGAGAUCCAUCUUUUAAGGUCUUCUUUAAAUUAUUUAUUCAGCAUUUUGUAGUUAUCCCUGUAGAGGCCUUUCACUUCUUUCAUUAACUUGAUUCCCAAAUAUUUUAUUUUUACUUUUUUGAGGCUAUUGUAAAUGGAGAAGUUUUCUUAGUUUGUCUUUCAGAAGGCUUAUCAGUGAUGUACAGAAAUACUUUGAUUUAUUGGUGUUUAUUUUAUAUCUUGCUCCUUUGCUGAACUCAUUUAUUAGUUCUAGAAGUUUUCUGGUGGAAUUUUUUGGAUCCUCUAGGUAUUGAAUCAUACUGUCAGGAAAUAGUGACAAUUUGAGUUCUUUUCCUAUGUGUAUCCCUUUAAUUUCUUUCAUAUUUCUAAUUACUCUGGCUAGAUUUUCAAGAACUAGUUAAAUAGUAGUGGUGAAAGAGGGUAUUCCUGUCUUGUUCCAGUUUUUAGAGGAAAUUCUUUGACUAUUUCUCCAUUUUGAAUGAUGUGGGCCUGGGGCUUAGCAUAGAUAGCUUUUAAAAUGUUGAGAUAUGUUCCUGUUAUCCCUACUUUUGCUACUAUUUUGAACAUGAAGGGUGCUUUAUUUUGCCAAAUGCUUUUUAUGCAUCUAUGCAGAUUAUCAUAUGAUUCUUGUCUUUAAGUGUAUUGAUGUGAUGAAUUAAAUUUAUUGAUUUCCAUAAGUUGAACCAACUUUGCAUCCCUGGGAUGAACCCCACUUGAUCAUGGUGAACUACCAUGAACUAUCUCUUUGCUAUGUUUUUGUAUUUGAUUUGCCAGAAUUUUAUUGAGAAGUUUUCUAUCUAUAUUCAUUAGAGAUAUUGGUCUGAACUUUUUUUCUUUGAUGUGUCUUUUCCUGGUUUUGGAAUCAGGAUGAUAUUAGCCUCAUAAAUGAGUUUGGAAGUGUUCUCUCUUUUUAUAUUUCAUGAAUUAAUUUGGGGAAUAUUGGUAUUAGUUCUCCUUUGAUGGUCUUGUAAAACUCAGCUGUGUAUCCAUCUGUUCCUGGGCUUUUCUUGGUUGGUAGGCUUCUGAUGACAUGUUAUAUUUCAUUGUUUGAAAUUUAUCUGUUUAAUUUGUAUAUAUCAUCCUGAUUCAAUUGGGGAAAACCAUAUGAUGCUAGAAAUUUAUUGAUGUCCUUUAUUUUACUGUGAAUAUAAUUUUCCUAAAUAAUUUCUAAUUAUCUUCUGUAUUCUGUAGUGUCUGUUGUGAUAUUUCCUUUUUUAUUACAUAUGUUAGUAAUUUGAGUUUUCUCAAUGCUUCUCCUCAUUGCCAUGGGUAAGUGUUUAUCAUUUUUACUUAUUUUUUUAAAGAAUUGACUUUUUAUUUUAUCAAUUUUUUAUUGUUGGUUCCAAUUUUAUUGAUUUAGCUCUGAUUUUAAUUAUUUCUCAGUCUUAUAUUGCUUUUGGUAUUGAUUUAUUCUUCUGUUUCUAGGACUUUGAGGUGUAACCUUAGGUCACUUAUUUGUUGACUUCUUCUUCUUUUGAGGAAUGAACUCCAUGCAACAAACUUUCCUCUUUGGACUGCCUUUACAGUGUCCCAGAAAUUUCAAUAUGUUGUAUCAGUGUUCUCAUUUACCUCUAAGAAUUUUUUAAUCUCCUCUUUGAUGUCUUUUGUAAUCCAUUGUUCAUUCAAUAGCAUGUUACUUAGUCUCCAAGUUUGGGAGAAGCUUCUAUUUUUCAUUUUAUCAUGGAUUUCUCAUUUCAUUCCAUUAUAAUAUUAUAGAAUGCAGGGCAGUAUCUCUAUUUUUUUUGUAUUUACUAUGAGUUGCUUUGUGGAAUAAUAUAUGGUCCAUUUUAGAGAA